This is a long non-coding RNA of Mesocricetus auratus (golden hamster), 841 nucleotides long. RefSeq lists it as uncharacterized. The record is from RefSeq and is a predicted model, not a curated record. NCBI's taxonomy places the organism in Eukaryota, Metazoa, Chordata, Mammalia, Rodentia, Cricetidae. The transcript has 2 exons.
GGCUGGUGCAAGGCACAGUUGAGUUUUCAUAUUUCUCUCCGGCUUCUGGAAAAUGGAAGAAGAGAAGUGAGGAAAGGAUCCUUAUCUCCUCUGCCUGCUUCCUUGGAUCCUUGUUUCUCUGUUUCUCUACUGGACAUCACUGGCCAAGGUGCCUCGGAUGGAGGCAGAGUAUGGAAAAAGCUCUGAUGGAGCCAGGUAGACCUAGGUUCAAAUUUGAAGCUCCUCCAGGAAUCCCUGUGUCUUCAUUCAAACCUGCCCUGGCUCAAGUACUGGCAGAUUUGAGGGAAAGUCAAGAGGACAGAUGACAUGAGCCAGAAGGAAAAACACCAAGGCAGGCACGGCAGCAGGAACAAGUGUGCGUCCCCAUCACGAUCCAUAAGCAGGAGGUAGAGAGCACGCUUUUGAAACUCAAAGCUAACCCCAUGACUCACCUCCUCCAACAAGACCAUCCCUCCUAAUCCUUCCGAAGCAGUUCCACCAAGUGGGGACCAAGUAUCCAGAGGAGCCUGUGGAAGCCAUCCUCAUUCCAGCCACCACCACACCCCUUCCUCAAAGUGUGUGCCUGGCCUCAACGCCGAUAGUCACAUGACCCAAGGCUAACCAAUCAGAGACAAGCUGUCUACUUGAACCAGGAAUUGAAGGCUCAACCAAAUACAACUAGAACUGGAACUAUUGGAAAGAGGACAUUGCUUUCUCAUUGAGGAAGCUAAGUCAAGAGACUAUAAGAGAGCUGCUGCUGGCCAUGACAUCUCUGCACAAAAGAGUCUUCCUUGGCGUGGAGUACACAGAGAAAAAGAUUCCUGGCAGUGUCUUUGAGGAAAUACACUGGUUGUGCCCAAAA